CAAGUCGAGCGAACGGACGAGAAGCUUGCUUCUCUGAUGUUAGCGGCGGACGGGUGAGUAACACGUGGAUAACCUACCUAUAAGACUGGGAUAACUUCGGGAAACCGGAGCUAAUACCGGAUGAUAUUUUGAACCGCAUGGUUCAAAAGUGAAAGACGGUCUUGCUGUCACUUAUAGAUGGAUCCGCGCUGCAUUAGCUAGUUGGUAAGGUAACGGCUUACCCAAGGCAACGAUGCAUAGCCGACCUGAGAGGGUGAUCGGCCACACUGGAACUGAGACACGGUCCAGACUCCUACGGGAGGCAGCAGUAGGGAAUCUUCCGCAAUGGGCGAAAGCCUGACGGAGCAACGCCGCGUGAGUGAUGAAGGUCUUCGGAUCGUAAAACUCUGUUAUUAGGGAAGAACAUAUGUGUAAGUAACUGUGCACAUCUUGACGGUACCUAAUCAGAAAGCCACGGCUAACUACGUGCCAGCAGCCGCGGUAAUACGUAGGUGGCAAGCGUUAUCCGGAAUUAUUGGGCGUAAAGCGCGCGUAGCGGUUUUUUAAGUCUGAUGUGAAAGCCCACGGCUCAACCGUGGAGGGUCAUUGGAAACUGGAAAACUUGAGUGCAGAAGAGGAAAGUGGAAUUCCAUGU
Molecule: ribosomal RNA, 634 nt
Filed under: uncultured Staphylococcus sp.
Lineage: Bacteria; Bacillati; Bacillota; Bacilli; Caryophanales; Staphylococcaceae
Description: bacterial SSU rRNA
Rfam family: Bacterial small subunit ribosomal RNA
Source: RNAcentral